Molecule: ribosomal RNA, 154 nt
Filed under: Entrophospora sp. JJ59
Lineage: Eukaryota; Fungi; Glomeromycota; Glomeromycetes; Entrophosporales; Entrophosporaceae
Description: 5.8S ribosomal RNA
Rfam family: 5.8S ribosomal RNA
About the family: 5.8S ribosomal RNA (5.8S rRNA) is a component of the large subunit of the eukaryotic ribosome. It is transcribed by RNA polymerase I as part of the 45S precursor that also contains 18S and 28S rRNA.
Source: RNAcentral
ACUUUCAGCAACGGAUCUCUUGGCUCUCGCAUCGAUGAAGAACGCAGCGAAAUGCGAUAAGUAAUGUGAAUUGCAGAAUUCAGUGAAUCAUCGAAUCUUUGAACGCACCUUGCGCUCCUUGGUAUUCCGAGGAGCAUGCCUGUUUGAGUCUCAU